GUGGGGAAUAUUGGACAAUGGGCGCAAGCCUGAUCCAGCCAUGCCGCGUGAGUGAUGAAGGCCUUAGGGUUGUAAAGCUCUUUCACCGAUGAAGAUAAUGACGGUAGUCGGAGAAGAAGCCCCGGCUAACUUCGUGCCAGCAGCCGCGGUAAUACGAAGGGGGCUAGCGUUGUUCGGAUUUACUGGGCGUAAAGCGCACGUAGGCGGUUUGUUAAGUCAGGGGUGAAAUCCCGGAGCUCAACUCCGGAACUGCCUUUGAUACUGGCAAGCUAGAGUCCGGAAGAGGUAAGUGGAACUCCUAGUGUAGAGGUGGAAUUCGUAGAUAUUAGGAAGAACACCAGUGGCGAAGGCGGCUUACUGGUCCGGAACUGACGCUGAGGUGCGAAAGCGUGGGGAGCAAACAGGAUUAGAAACCCGAGUAGUCC
RNAcentral lists this ribosomal RNA (425 nucleotides) under uncultured bacterium. RNAcentral describes it as "bacterial SSU rRNA". It matches the Rfam family "Bacterial small subunit ribosomal RNA", at positions 354 to 796 of the family's 1533-position model. The record is from RNAcentral.